CCCUUAGAUGUUCUGGGCCGCGCGCGCGCUACACUGAACAGUUCAACAAGUCUUAACCUUGGCCGAUAGGUCUGGGUAAUCUUUGAACGCUGUUCGUGAUUGGGAUAGACCUUUGCAAUUAUGGGUCUUCAACGAGGAAUUCCUAGUAAACGCAAGUCAUCAGCUUGCAUUGAUUACGUCCCUGCCCUUUGUACACACCGCCCGUCGCACCUACCGAUUGAAUGGUCCGGUGAAAUCUCGGGACGGCGGCUUGGUCGCUUGCGUCCGACUGCUGAAACUUGAUUAAACCAUAUCAUUUAGAGGAAGGUGAAGUCGUAACA
This 320-nucleotide ribosomal RNA is filed under the name uncultured eukaryote. Its description in RNAcentral is "partial 18S ribosomal RNA". It matches the Rfam family "Eukaryotic small subunit ribosomal RNA", at positions 1470 to 1796 of the family's 1831-position model. The record is from RNAcentral.